GUGGCCCAAUGUGGGCGUGGCCAAAGUGGAGGCACGCCCCGAUUCGCGGGCGGGAUUCAGGCUUCGCGCAAGAUGGCAGACCGCACCGAAAGAGCUUACUAACAAUUCACCCUCGAAUAUUGAAUAUAAAGUGUGGUAAACGUUUGAAUUAUAUAUAUAAAAAAAGAAUGUUCUGUUGGAAAAAGUAUAGCCAUUUGUUAACGUUUUCGAAAGGAGCGGUAAAGUAGUUGUGACGUCACCGAGACACUCAAGCCGGCGAUGAUGGAGCUAAUGAUGCUGAUGGUAAAAGAGCAACCAGCUGACCAGACAAGGACGCUGAUUUGAAAGACUUCAGCUCUAAUUUAUCCUCAACUCUGCGAGGUCACACAAGCUGCAGACAGCAUCUUAUUAGGCGCUCGCUAGAGGGACGCCAUAAUAAUGAAGUAGAUGAGGACGCCAUCAGGAAGCACCGCGAGACGAGAAGGGCCCCACCUUCUGAAAUGCAUCUCCAAUUGAGAACCCCCAGAUCAAUGUGUGGAGCUCAGCGAACGACAAGGAUCAGACUCGGGAUGGAAGCGCCAAAAACUACAACAAAGAUGGCGGGGAGAAGACGCUGUUGAAGUGGAG
This is a long non-coding RNA of Nerophis ophidion (straightnose pipefish), 606 nucleotides long. RefSeq lists it as uncharacterized. The transcript has 4 exons. NCBI's taxonomy places the organism in Eukaryota, Metazoa, Chordata, Actinopteri, Syngnathiformes, Syngnathidae. The record is from RefSeq and is a predicted model, not a curated record.